GCGCUCUUAGCUCAACUGGAUUAGAGUACCAGAUUUCGACUCUGGGGGUUAGGGGUUCGAGUCCUCUAGAGCGCACCA
RNAcentral lists this transfer RNA (78 nucleotides) under Alphaproteobacteria bacterium. RNAcentral's name for it is "tRNA-Arg". It matches the Rfam family "tRNA". Rfam says of the family: Transfer RNA (tRNA) molecules are approximately 80 nucleotides in length. RNAcentral also lists the same sequence under 3 other names. Lineage: Bacteria; Pseudomonadati; Pseudomonadota; Alphaproteobacteria. The record is from RNAcentral.